AUCUUUAAAAUUAAAAAUUUUGGCGGUAUUUUAGUCUGUUCAGAGGAACCUGCCCUGUAAUUGAUAAUCCACAAUUUAUUUUACUUUAAUUAUAAUUUGUAUAUCGUUGUAAUAAAAUAUUUUUUAAGAAUUGAAAUAUUGAAAAUUUAAAUUAUAAAAUAAGUCAAAUCAAGAUGUAGUUUAUAUUAAAGUUGAGGUGGGUUACAUUAAAAUAAUUUAGAUGGAGAUUUAAUUGAAAAUUAAGUUGAAGGUGGAUUUGAUAGUAAUUUGAAAUAAAUUUUUAAAAUGAUUUAGCUCUAAAAUAUGCACAUAUUGCCCGUCGCUUUCAUUUUAAAAUGAAAUAAGUCGUAACAUAGUAGAUGUACCGGAAGGUGUUUCUAGAAAGCAAGUUAGAGCUUGAUAAAAGCAUUUUAUUUACACUAAAAAGUUAAUUGUGAAAUUCAAUUUAACUUGAUUUAGAGAGGUUUAUUAAUUUUAAUAUGUAUUUAUUAGGUGACGAAAUAAAUUUUUUGUUUAAUUAUAAAUUUGAAAAAAUUGAUUUAAUUAUAGAGUAUAGUAUCGAGAGAGAAAAAUUAAAGAUUAAAAAAGGAGGAAAUUUCUGUACCUUGUGUAUCAGGGUUUACUAAAAAAAAUUAGUUGAGUAAUAUUUUCCCGAAUUGAGAAGAGCUAAUUUUUUAUAAAUUUUAUUGUGAAAUAAAUAUUUGUAAUAAAAAGUUAGAAAUGAAAUGUUAUUCGUUUUUAAUAUAUCUGGUUUUAAAAGAAAAAAGUUUAAUUUUUUUGAAAUUUAAUAUUUAAUUUUUUGUUUAGGAAUAUAUUAAUUUCAAUUUAUAUAUUUAGGGAUGAGCUUAAGUAUAGAUUUAUAUAAUUAUAUAGAAGGUAAUUUUAUUUUAGGAUUAGAAUUGUUCAUAAAUAAUAGUAUGUUAUAAUUAAAGAAUUAGUAUUUAAGAUUUAUAUUUAAUUUAUUUAGUUUAUUUUAAAGUUAAUUAAAAUAUAAAAAAUUAGGGUAUAAUGGUAAAAUUAGUAUAUAAAGGAGUAUUGUUGAAUUAGCAUAAGGUAAAUUUAAGGAAUUCGGCAAAGUAAUUUUUCACCUGUUUAUUAAAAACAUGUCUUUUUGAGAUUAAUUUAAGGUCGGCCCUGCCCACUGAAAAUUGAAUGGCCGCGGUAUUUUGACCGUGCAAAGGUAGCAUAAUCAUUAGUUUUUUAAUUGAAAGCUGGAAUGAAAGGGUUAAUGAAAAAAUAACUGUCUCAAGUUUAAUUUAUUAGAAUUUUAUUUUUAAGUAAAAAAGCUUAAAUUUUAUUUAAAGACGAUAAGACCCUAUAGAGUUUAAUAUAAUAUGAAGUUAAUUAAAGAAGAAUUGAA
RNAcentral lists this ribosomal RNA (1360 nucleotides) under Phloeobius gigas. RNAcentral's name for it is "partial 16S ribosomal RNA". Lineage: Eukaryota; Metazoa; Arthropoda; Insecta; Coleoptera; Anthribidae. The record is from RNAcentral.